This 562-nucleotide ribosomal RNA is filed under the name uncultured bacterium. Its description in RNAcentral is "partial 16S ribosomal RNA". It matches the Rfam family "Bacterial small subunit ribosomal RNA", at positions 355 to 908 of the family's 1533-position model. The record is from RNAcentral.
UAGGGAAUCUUCCACAAUGGACGCAAGUCUGAUGGAGCAACGCCGCGUGAGUGAAGAAGGUCUUCGGAUCGUAAAGCUCUGUUGUUGGUGAAGAAGGAUAGAGGCAGUAACUGGUCUUUAUUUGACGGUAAUCAACCAGAAAGUCACGGCUAACUACGUGCCAGCAGCCGCGGUAAUACGUAGGUGGCAAGCGUUGUCCGGAUUUAUUGGGCGUAAAGCGAGCGCAGGCGGAAUGAUAAGUCUGAUGUGAAAGCCCACGGCUCAACCGUGGAACUGCAUCGGAAACUGUCAUUCUUGAGUGCAGAAGAGGAGAGUGGAACUCCAUGUGUAGCGGUGGAAUGCGUAGAUAUAUGGAAGAACACCAGUGGCGAAGGCGGCUCUCUGGUCUGCAACUGACGCUGAGGCUCGAAAGCAUGGGUAGCGAACAGGAUUAGAUACCCUGGUAGUCCAUGCCGUAAACGAUGAGCGCUAGGUGUUGGGGACUUUCCGGUUCUCAGUGCCGCAGCAAACGCAUUAAGCGCUCCGCCUGGGGAGUACGACCGCAAGGUUGAGACUCUAAAUG